Molecule: ribosomal RNA, 497 nt
Filed under: uncultured bacterium
Lineage: Bacteria
Description: partial 16S ribosomal RNA
Rfam family: Bacterial small subunit ribosomal RNA
Source: RNAcentral
GAUGAACGCUGGCGGCGUGCCUAAUACAUGCAAGUCGAGCGAACAGAUGAGGAGCUUGCUCCUCUGACGUUAGCGGUGGACGGGUGAGUAACACGUGGAUAACCUACCUAUAAGACUGGGAUAACUUCGGGAAACCGGAGCUAAUACCGGAUAAUAUAUUGAACCGCAUGGUUCAAUAGUGAAAGACGGUUUUGCUGUCACUUAUAGAUGGAUCCGCGCCGCAUUAGCUAGUUGGUAAGGUAACGGCUUACCAAGGCAACGAUGCGUAGCCGACCUGAGAGGGUGAUCGGCCACACUGGAACUGAGACACGGUCCAGACUCCUACGGGAGGCAGCAGUAGGGCAUCUUCCGCAAUGGGCGAAAGCCUGACGGAGCAACGCCGCGUGAGUGAUGAAGGUCUUCGGAUCGUAAAACUCUGUUAUUAGGGAAGAACAAAUGUGUAAGUAACUAUGCACGUCUUGACGGUACCUAAUCAGAAAGCCACGGCUAACUACGUG